This 85-nucleotide transfer RNA is filed under the name candidate division CPR2 bacterium GWD1_39_7. RNAcentral's name for it is "tRNA-Leu". It matches the Rfam family "tRNA". From Rfam's summary of the family: Transfer RNA (tRNA) molecules are approximately 80 nucleotides in length. Their secondary structure includes four short double-helical elements and three loops (D, anti-codon, and T loops). The record is from RNAcentral. Lineage: Bacteria; candidate division CPR2. RNAcentral also lists the same sequence under 2 other names.
GCCGGGGUGGUGAAAUGGUAUACACGCACGACUCAAAAUCGUGUGCCCAAAAGGCAUGAGGGUUCGAGUCCCUCUCCCGGCACCA